Molecule: transfer RNA, 77 nt
Filed under: Caudoviricetes sp.
Lineage: Duplodnaviria; Heunggongvirae; Uroviricota; Caudoviricetes
Description: tRNA-Arg
Rfam family: tRNA
About the family: Transfer RNA (tRNA) molecules are approximately 80 nucleotides in length. Their secondary structure includes four short double-helical elements and three loops (D, anti-codon, and T loops). Further hydrogen bonds mediate the characteristic L-shaped molecular structure. tRNAs have two regions of fundamental functional importance: the anti-codon, which is responsible for specific mRNA codon recognition, and the 3' end, to which the tRNAs corresponding amino acid is attached (by aminoacyl-tRNA synthetases). tRNAs cope with the degeneracy of the genetic code in two manners: having more than one tRNA (with a specific anti-codon) for a particular amino acid; and 'wobble' base-pairing, i.e. permitting non-standard base-pairing at the 3rd anti-codon position.
Source: RNAcentral
ACCACUGUAUCUUAAUUGGACAAAGAAACAAUCUUCUAAAUUGUAUUAUGUGAGUUCGAGUCUCACCAGUGGUACCA